AGGUUAAGUGAAUAAGGGCGCACGGUGGAUGCCUUGGCACUAGGAGCCGAUGAAGGACGGGACUAACACCGAUAUGCUUUGGGGAGCUGUACGUAAGCUAUGAUCCAGAGAUUUCCGAAUGGGGGAACCCAGCAUCUUUAAUAGGAUGUUACGAUUGUGUGAAUACAUAGCACAUUCGAGGUAGACGCAGAGAACUGAAACAUCUAAGUACCUGCAGGAAGAGAAAGAAAAUUCGAUUCCCUGAGUAGCGGCGAGCGAAACGGGAAAAGCCCAAACCAGCAAGCUUGCUUGUUGGGGUUGUAGGACUCCAAUAUGGUAGUUCUUUCAGAUAGUCGAAUGACUUGGAAAAGUCAGUCAAAGAGGGUAAAAACCCCGUAGACGAAAUGUGGAAGACACCUAGGAGGAUCCUGAGUACGGCGGAACACGAGAAAUUCCGUCGGAAUCCGGGAGGACCAUCUCCCAAGGCUAAAUACUCCCUAGUGACCGAUAGUGAACCAGUACCGUGAGGGAAAGGUGAAAAGCACCCCGGAAGGGGAGUGAAAUAGAACCUGAAACCGUGUGCCUACAACAAGUCAAAGCCCGUUAAUGGGUGAUGGCGUGCCUUUUGUAGAAUGAACCGGCGAGUUACGAUUGCAUGCGAGGUUAAGUUGAAGAGACGGAGCCGCAGCGAAAGCGAGUCUGAAUAGGGCGUUUGAGUAUGUAGUCGUAGACCCGAAACCAUGUGAUCUACCCAUGUCCAGGUUGAAGGUGCGGUAAAACGCACUGGAGGACCGAACCCACGUACGUUGAAAAGUGCGGGGAUGAGGUGUGGGUAGCGGAGAAAUUCCAAACGAACUUGGAGAUAGCUGGUUCUCUCCGAAAUAGCUUUAGGGCUAGCCUCGGAAUUGAGAAUGAUGGAGGUAGAGCACUGUUUGGACUAGGGGCCCAUCUCGGGUUACCGAAUUCAGAUAAACUCCGAAUGCCAUUCAUUCAUAUCCGGGAGUCAGACUGUGAGUGAUAAGAUCCAUAGUCGAAAGGGAAACAGCCCAGACCACCAGCUAAGGUCCCAAAAUAUAUGUUAAGUGGAAAAGGAUGUGGGGUUGCACAGACAACUAGGAUGUUGGCUUAGAAGCAGCCAUCAUUUAAAGAGUGCGUAAUAGCUCACUAGUCGAGUGACCCUGCGCCGAAAAUGUACCGGGGCUAAACAUAUUACCGAAGCUGUGGAGUACACCUUUAGGUGUAUUGGUAGGAGAGCGUUCUAAGGGCGUCGAAGGCAGAUCGUGAGGACUGCUGGAGCGCUUAGAAGUGAGAAUGCCGGUAUGAGUAGCGAAAGACAGGUGAGAAUCCUGUCCACCGAAUGACUAAGGUUUCCUGGGGAAGGCUCGUCCGCCCAGGGUUAGUCGGGACCUAAGCCGAGGCCGACAGGCGUAGGCGAUGGAUAACAGGUUGAUAUUCCUGUACCCGUUGUUUUUGUUUGAGCAAUGGAGGGACGCAGGAGGCUAAGGAAUGCAGACGAUCGGAAAUGUCUGUCCAAGCAGUAAGUCUGAAGAGGAGUCAAAUGCUUCUUUUCUUAAGGACAAGCUGUGAUGGGGAGGGAAAUAAUAGUACCGAAGUUCCUGAUGUCACACUGCCGAGAAAAGCUUCUAGUGAGAAAACAGCGGCCCGUACCGCAAACCGACACAGGUAGUCGAGGAGAGAAUCCUAAGGUGAGCGAGAGAACUCUCGUUAAGGAACUCGGCAAAAUGACCCCGUAACUUCGGGAGAAGGGGUGCUGAUCAUACGAUCAGCCGCAGUGAAUAGGCCCAAGCGACUGUUUAUCAAAAACACAGGUCUCUGCAAAAUCGUAAGAUGAAGUAUAGGGGCUGACGCCUGCCCGGUGCUGGAAGGUUAAGAGGAGUGCUUAGCGCAAGCGAAGGUACGAAUUGAAGCCCCAGUAAACGGCGGCCGUAACUAUAACGGUCCUAAGGUAGCGAAAUUCCUUGUCGGGUAAGUUCCGACCCGCACGAAAGGCGUAACGAUUUGGGCACUGUCUCAACGAGAGACUCGGUGAAAUUUUAGUACCUGUGAAGAUGCAGGUUACCCGCGACAGGACGGAAAGACCCCAUGGAGCUUUACUGUAGUUUGAUAUUGAGUGUCUGUACCGCAUGUACAGGAUAGGUAGGAGCCGUAGAAAUCGGAACGCUAGUUUCGAUGGAGGCGCUGGUGGGAUACUACCCCUGCGUUAUGGCCACUCUAACCCGCACCACUAAUCGUGGUGGGAGACAGUGUCAGAUGGGCAGUUUGACUGGGGCGGUCGCCUCCUAAAAGGUAACGGAGGCGCCCAAAGGUUCCCUCAGAAUGGUUGGAAAUCAUUCGAAGAGUGUAAAGGCAGAAGGGAGCUUGACUGCGAGACCAACAAGUCGAGCAGGGACGAAAGUCGGGCUUAGUGAUCCGGUGGUUCCGCAUGGAAGGGCCAUCGCUCAACGGAUAAAAGCUACCCUGGGGAUAACAGGCUUAUCUCCCCCAAGAGUCCACAUCGACGGGGAGGUUUGGCACCUCGAUGUCGGCUCGUCGCAUCCUGGGGCUGUAGUCGGUCCCAAGGGUUGGGCUGUUCGCCCAUUAAAGCGGCACGCGAGCUGGGUUCAGAACGUCGUGAGACAGUUCGGUCCCUAUCCGUCGCGGGCGUUGGAAAUUUGAGAGGAGCUGUCCUUAGUACGAGAGGACCGGGAUGGACUUACCGCUGGUGUACCAGUUGUUCUGCCAAGGGCAUUGCUGGGUAGCUAUGUAGGGAAGGGAUAAACGCUGAAAGCAUCUAAGUGUGAAGCCCACCUCAAGAUGAGAUUUCCCAUUUCUUUAAGAAAGUAAGAUCCCUGAGAGAUGAUCAGGUAGAUAGGUCAGGAGUGGAAGUACAGUGAUGUAUGGAGCGGACUGAUACUAAUCGAUCGAGGACUUAACCAAU
Molecule: ribosomal RNA, 2917 nt
Filed under: Enterococcus faecium
Lineage: Bacteria; Bacillati; Bacillota; Bacilli; Lactobacillales; Enterococcaceae
Description: 23S ribosomal RNA
Rfam family: Bacterial large subunit ribosomal RNA
Source: RNAcentral